This 429-nucleotide ribosomal RNA is filed under the name Chloroflexota bacterium. RNAcentral's name for it is "Chloroflexi bacterium partial 16S ribosomal RNA". It matches the Rfam family "Bacterial small subunit ribosomal RNA", at positions 355 to 776 of the family's 1533-position model. Lineage: Bacteria; Bacillati; Chloroflexota. The record is from RNAcentral.
UAGGGAAUCUUCGGCAAUGGACGAAAGUCUGACCGAGCAACGCCGCGUGAGUGAAGAAGGUUUUCGGAUCGUAAAACUCUGUUGUUAGAGAAGAACAAGGACGUUAGUAACUGAACGUCCCCUGACGGUAUCUAACCAGAAAGCCACGGCUAACUACGUGCCAGCAGCCGCGGUAAUACGUAGGUGGCAAGCGUUGUCCGUAUUUAUUGGGCGUAAAGCGAGCGCAGGCGGUUUCUUAAGUCUGAUGUGAAAGCCCCCGGCUCAACCGGGGAGGGUCAUUGGAAACUGGGAGACUUGAGUGCAGAAGAGGAGAGUGGAAUUCCAUGUGUGGCGGUGAAAUGCGUAGGUAUAUGGAGGAACACCAGUGGCGAAGGCGGCUCUCUGGUAUGUAACUGACGCUGAGGCUCGAAAGCGUGGGGAGCAAACAGG